GACGAACGCUGGCGGCGUGCCUAAUACAUGCAAGUUGAGCGCUGAAGGUUGGUACUUGUACCAACUGGAUGAGCAGCGAACGGGUGAGUAACGCGUGGGGAAUCUGCCUUUGAGCGGGGACAACAUUUGGAAAGGAAUGCUAAUACCGCAUAAAAACUUUAAACACAAGUUUUAAGUUUGAAAGAUGCAAUUGCAUCACUCAAAGAUGAUCCCGCGUUGUAUUAGCUAGUUGGUGAGGUAAAGGCUCACCAAGGCGAUGAUACAUAGCCGACCUGAGAGGGUGAUCGGCCACAUUGGGACUGAGACACGGCCCAAACUCCUACGGGAGGCAGCAGUAGGGAAUCUUCGGCAAUGGACGAAAGUCUGACCGAGCAGCGCCGCGUGAGUGAAGAAGGUUUUCGGAUCGUAAAACUCUGUUGGUAGAGAAGAAUGUUGGUGAGAGUGGAAAGCUCAUCAAGUGACGGUAACUACCCAGAAAGGGACGGCUAACUACGUG
Molecule: ribosomal RNA, 496 nt
Filed under: uncultured bacterium
Lineage: Bacteria
Description: partial 16S ribosomal RNA
Rfam family: Bacterial small subunit ribosomal RNA
Source: RNAcentral